GUGGAAUUCCAAGAGUCAAGUGUGCAUCCACCACUCUCUAGUGCCUUGAUUGGGUCAAGUGAGAGUUCUUUGCUUGUUACUCUUGGUGAUCGCCAUCACCUAGACGGUUCGGUGGUGAUUGGAGGCACGAAGACCAGCCGAAGUUCUUGUGGGUGGCUCGUGUCAAGCUUGUGAGCGGUUUUGGGCGAUUCACCGUGACGGAGUGUCGAAGAAUCAGCCCAUAGAGAGCACUUGGUCCUUGCGCAGACCAAGGGGGAGCAAGACCCUUGUGCGGGUGCUCCAACGAGGACUAGUGGAGAGUGGCGAUUCUCCGAUACCUCGGCAAAACAUCGCCGAGCACUUUCUUGCCCUUCUCCUUUACAUUCUAGCAUUUACUUUGUGCAAUUACUUUGAGUUUUUACAUUCCUAGAAUUGCCUUGCUAGAAUAGGAUUGAAACUAGGUUGCAAAACUUUUUAUCCGGUAGCUCUCUAGUCACAUUAGGCACAAGGGGUGAAAUUGGAGCUUAUAGGUUGCUUAAAUUUUUAGAGAAGCCCAAUUCAUCCCCCUCUUGGGCAUCUUGAUCCUUUCAAGGUGAAAUCACGCGGGCCCUGGCGGCCACCACCUGGACUGGCGCCCGCCACCCUCCUAGGCCCCAGUGGGCCCACAGGUGCUGGACUGCCUCUUGGUGAUCAAAUUCUUGUAUAUUUUCGACAUUUUUCCUGCAUACAAAUAAAACUCAUGUACAAGUAGAAUUCCAUUAGUUUAAACUAUAUUUCCUAUCAUCUAUGUCUCUUUUAUCCAUGAAUUGAUGUCUUGUUGAUGGUUAAAAUAUGCAUUUAGUGAGCAUCAACAAUGGGUAUGGAAUUUUUACUAUACUUUAACCAUACAAUAGUUAGCUCAUAAAAAAAUUCACCAUAAUUAGACCAUAGAAACUGCAUAUAUUAAUUAUUCUAAUUAAUUAAAGAAAAACAUAGAUUCAAAGCUAUAUCAAAAAAUUUGUACUAAAGCAUGUCAUAUUAUAUAUUCACUGCAUAGAUCUACUCAUGUGGACUCCAACAAGCUUAGAUUUUUCAUUUUAUGAUUUUUCUAUGAUUUAUUAUGAUUUUUCAAAAAUUCAACACAAAUAAAUAAAAAAGAAAAAGACAAAAUCACCCUACAAAACUGCUCGAAGGGUUAUUUGACCAAUUUUAAAAAGUUUAGGGCUAGAAUAUCUGGGUUUUAUAGUUCGGGGGGCAAAAUUAUCCACCCUAGAUAGUUUGGAGGAAUAUGUAGACUUUUUCCCAAUAAAAAAAAAGAAAAAGACAAAACCUUCAUAGCAAAACUUUAUACUAAAACAUACCAUAUUAUAUAUUUAGUGUAUUGAUUUACUCAUGUAAAGUCCAACAAAAUUAAAUUUCGUAUUUUAUGAUUUUUCUAUAAUUUACUAUUAUUUUUUAAAGAUUUAGUCGAGAUAUUAAAAAAAGAAAAAAGAUAAAACCACUGUCACUAUAUCAAAACUAUCAUAUACUCUUAUAAAGCUAAAGCUCACUAGAUGAAUUCUCUCUUCAUGCAAGGUUUCCACAUCAUUCUCUACUAAGUCUAUGUCAUCCCAUAUUAAUUACAAAAAAUAUCCAUAUCAUCUAUAUCAUGUGAAAUACUUUAAAUAUUUAAUCUAUUAACAUACAAGUCAUCUAUAUAUACUAUUCGUUUGAUCACCUAUGUCUCUAUAAUAUAAUCAAAUAUUCUAUUGUUUCUUCUAUUAGCUUAGUGAUUGUUUACCAGAUCUAAUACAACAAAAUAACACGCAAGUCAAAUUCAUAUAUAUAUAUAUAUAUAUAUAUAUAUAUAUAUAUAUAUAUAUAGCGCUAUUCUACACCCUAGGUGUAGAAUAUUAUUCUACACCACAAGUUAAAAUUGAGUAGAAAAAAUACUGAGUAGUACUAAAGAGUAUUCAGUAUACAACUUGUGACCACGAAAUAUUGAACAAUACUAAAACACGAAUACUAAGCGAUACUGAACUUUGC
Molecule: long non-coding RNA, 1983 nt
Filed under: Sorghum bicolor (sorghum)
Lineage: Eukaryota; Viridiplantae; Streptophyta; Magnoliopsida; Poales; Poaceae
Description: long non-coding RNA (SBIC_LNC014627)
Source: RNAcentral